Molecule: ribosomal RNA, 1470 nt
Filed under: metagenome
Description: bacterial SSU rRNA
Rfam family: Bacterial small subunit ribosomal RNA
Source: RNAcentral
AGAGUUUGAUCCUGGCUCAGGACGAACGCUGGCGGCACGCUUAACACAUGCAAGUCGAACGAGAGAAGAGGAGCUUGCUUUUCUGAUCUAGUGGCGGACGGGUGAGUAACACGUGAGCAAUCUGCCUUUCAGAGGGGGAUACCGAUUGGAAACGAUCGUUAAUACCGCAUAACAUAAUUGAACCGCAUGAUUUGAUUAUCAAAGAUUUAUCGCUGAAAGAUGAGCUCGCGUCUGAUUAGCUAGUUGGUAAGGUAACGGCUUACCAAGGCGACGAUCAGUAGCCGGACUGAGAGGUUGAUCGGCCACAUUGGGACUGAGACACGGCCCAGACUCCUACGGGAGGCAGCAGUGGGGAAUAUUGCACAAUGGAGGAAACUCUGAUGCAGCGAUGCCGCGUGAGGGAAGAAGGUUUUAGGAUUGUAAACCUCUGUCUUCAGGGACGAAAAAAGACGGUACCUGAGGAGGAAGCUCCGGCUAACUACGUGCCAGCAGCCGCAGUAAUACGUAGGGAGCGAGCGUUGUCCGGAAUUACUGGGUGUAAAGGGAGCGUAGGCGGGAUCGCAAGUCAGAUGUGAAAACUAUGGGCUUAACCCAUAAACUGCAUUUGAAACUGUGGUUCUUGAGUGAAGUAGAGGUAAGCGGAAUUCCUAGUGUAGCGGUGAAAUGCGUAGAUAUUAGGAGGAACAUCAGUGGCGAAGGCGGCUUACUGGGCUUUAACUGACGCUGAGGCUCGAAAGCGUGGGGAGCAAACAGGAUUAGAUACCCUGGUAGUCCACGCCGUAAACGAUGAUUACUAGGUGUGGGGGGACUGACCCCUUCCGUGCCGCGGCAAACGCAAUAAGUAAUCCACCUGGGGAGUACGACCGCAAGGUUGAAACUCAAAGGAAUUGACGGGGGCCCGCACAAGCAGUGGAGUAUGUGGAUUAAUUCGAAGCAACGCGAAGAACCUUACCAGGUCUUGACAUCGUAUGCAUAGCUCAGAGAUGAGUGAAAUCUCUUCGGAGACAUAUAGACAGGUGGUGCAUGGUUGUCGUCAGCUCGUGUCGUGAGAUGUUGGGUUAAGUCCCGCAACGAGCGCAACCCUUACUGUUAGUUGCUACGCAAGAGCACUCUAGCAGGACUGCCGUUGACAAAACGGAGGAAGGUGGGGAUGACGUCAAAUCAUCAUGCCCCUUAUGACCUGGGCCUCACACGUACUACAAUGGCUGUCAACAGAGGGAAGCAAAGCCGCGAGGUGGAGCGAACCCCUAAAAGCAGUCUUAGUUCGGAUUGUAGGCUGCAACCCGCCUACAUGAAGUCGGAAUUGCUAGUAAUCGCAGAUCAGCAUGCUGCGGUGAAUACGUUCCCGGGCCUUGUACACACCGCCCGUCACGCCAUGGGAGUCGGUAACACCCGAAGCCUGUAGUCUAACCGCAAGGAGGACGCAGUCGAAGGUGGGAUUGAUGACUGGGGUGAAGUCGUAACAAGGUA